UUCGAGUGGCGGACGGGUGAGUAACGCGUGGGUAACCUGCCUUACACAGGGGAUAACACCUGGAAACAGGUGCUAAUACCGCAUAAGCGCACAGGGCCGCAUGGCCCGGUGUGAAAAACUCCGGUGGUGUAAGAUGGACCCGCGUCUGAUUAGCUUGUUGGCGGGGUAGGGGCCCACCAAGGCGACGAUCAGUAGCCGGCCUGAGAGGGUGGACGGCCACAUUGGGACUGAGACACGGCCCAAACUCCUACGGGAGGCAGCAG
This 263-nucleotide ribosomal RNA is filed under the name uncultured bacterium. RNAcentral's name for it is "partial 16S ribosomal RNA". It matches the Rfam family "Bacterial small subunit ribosomal RNA", at positions 90 to 354 of the family's 1533-position model. The record is from RNAcentral.